Non-coding RNA from Onthophagus taurus, 134 nucleotides. NCBI's taxonomy places the organism in Eukaryota, Metazoa, Arthropoda, Insecta, Coleoptera, Scarabaeidae. The record is from RefSeq and is a predicted model, not a curated record.
CAUCGAAAAGUAUCAAAUAUAUUUUGAGGUUAUAAAAAGUGAACCGGAAAUAAGAAGAAAACCAUCGAAAAGUACCAAAUAUUUGUUAAGGUUAUAAAAAGUGAAGCGGAAAUUUGAAGAAAAUCAUCGAAAAG